AUGCCUUUGAGUAAUCUCCAGAAAGAAGAAGGUAGCUGCUCCCCUACUCUCCACUGGCAUUUUGGGAAAGCUUCAGCAACUAAAAGGGGCGGAAGAAACAGAGAACGUCUCUGGCUGAGGCUGACAUGGACGGGAUUGUCAGCCAUAAUAGGAAGGUGGGCGCUGAUCAGCAAGCUUUGCUCAAGUUGUCAAGAGCUAAUCAAGACCCUUGGGGAAACAGCACCGUUCAGGUCUAUGUUGGUGACAAGGAAAGAGAUGAUGGAAAAGGGGAAUGGGCAAGAGAGAAAAAACUGGAGAACGUAUAAAGAUUAGUAGGAUUACAGAAAGCUAACUUUGGUAUAUGCUUGUGGACCAUUGCAGUGACUUCUUCCAAGAAAGAGAUGUGGCGCUUUUGAUGGAUGGAAGAUGUGAAUGUGUUUUCAAGUUACCCAAGGACUUGUGGCAGCUCCAUGAAUUUCAUAGGGUUUUCUUAGGCAAGGAAUCCUCAGGGGCGGUUUGGCCAUUUCUUUCCUCUGAAAUAUAUCACUCCGUGAAAAUGUCAAACUGAGGUGCAGUUGCUGUGAAAACAACAACUAAUUCCAUGUGGGUUAUUGUUAGGAAAGGAAUAAAACACCAAAAUAUCAAUGCCACAAUGUUUUUCCAGUGAUCUAUAAUAUGACAAAACCACACCUGAAGUACUGAAUCACCAAACAUCAGAAAGGCUAUAUGGUAGAGCAGAAGUGAAUACAAAAAUAAUUAAAGAGCAACUCCCCCAUCGGGAUCUUUACACCAAUCUGGAAUACCUUGCACUAAACUUUUUGUGGUCUUAUACCUUCAGUCUGAUAUGAAGAUAGUAGUGCAACUGUGAACCAGACCAGAAACAGACAACAUUUAAGUUUGGAUGUGGGAGGGGAAUAGAAAUUAUAUGUGUGUACAUAUAUAUGGAGAGCCAGCAUGGUAGCGGUUUGAGAGUUGGAGAAUGCCUCUGGGGAACAGGAUUCAAAUUUCUGCACAGCCAUGAAACCCACUAAGUGACCUUGGAGAAGUUACACCCUCUCAGCCUCAGAGGAAAGCAAUGGUAAAACUUCUUCUGAACAAAUUUUGCCCCCAUCCCCACCCCCCUUGAGAUCAGCAUCGGUUGGAAAUGACUUUAAGGUACAUGACAACAUCAUAUCUGUGCCUUCAAGUCUCCUGUCAAUUUAUGACAGGGCAGGGAACUAGGGAACCACAUUAGCAUCUUUGGUGGGUCACACUGGCCAAAAAGUUUGUCUCCUGAUCCUGAGAGGCCUUUGUUUACAGUGGAGAGUGAGCAGAAGUUAAUUCAGGUUCACUUUCUGUUUCAGGAAAAGUCUUCUAGUGGGUCUAAUUUGGUGAUUCCCAAUUUGUGGUCUGUGGACCACCAGUGGUCCAAAUAUGGUCCGCAGCCUCACUGUUACUACACUGUUGCAAUGAGAGUGACUGGUCUCUUAUAGUGUCGAGGCAACGGGGAUGUUGGGAGGGGAGAGGCUGACUACCCACGAAAGGCAUGACAACAAGCCUCCUGACUGCUGCUUCUCCUCCUCCUUCCUCCCCCUGAGUGGAGCCGUUCCAUGUGGUGCCUGGAAGUGAGGCGCCUUGGUGUAUUUGUUUUUAGGCCUUUUCCUGGGAUUAUUUAGGGUGCUGAUUCAAAAAAUUGCAUUGGAUAGACCACAUCAGCUCUAGAUUAUUAAAUAUGGUUUUCUUUUGGCAAGCAGAUGGAGACUACUGGAUGGCAUAUGUUCUGUAUCAGAAACUACAGCGGAUGUAGUCUAUCCAAUGCAAUUUUCUGAAUAAACACCCCAAAUAACCAAACCGAAUCUAAAGUUGACCAAUUCGUAACCCUUUUGGUACUAAUGUUGGAGAGUAGCCCUUGGUCAAAGUGGUCCCUGGUCAAAAAAAGGUUGGGAACCUCUGGUCUAAAUUGUGACUACUAAUGGCUAUUAGCCAUGAUGUUAUAUAAUACACUUUUAUUUUACUAUAAAGUAGUUAUAGUAAGCAUAUGGACCUUGAUAGCAAACAUUGUGCGUGAGGAACAACACUCAGACUAGAAGAAGCUGCAGCAGUCUAUUCUUGCCUGAGUCUACUGGGAAGGGCAAGAUUUUGAUGGCGCAUUCUCUCUCCCAUCCUGAGUUAAUUCAGUACAAACUGCUUUUGCACUUUGAACUCUGUUUGCAGCACGUGAAAUAAACUAUAGUCAAAAGGGGUAAGUAGAAGAGACUAAAACUGGGACAUUUUAAAAGCAACUGAAAAUUGGGACAUCAGAAUAUUAACCAGGACUGUCCUUGCUAAAUCAGGACAGUGGAAGGGUAUGACACAGCCCCGUCUGACACUAAAGUACACAAAAAUCUAUAAUACGUUGUCCUAUUACUAACUAAUAUACAGAAUAGAACAAUGGUAACAGACAAGGUUGUACUCAGUCACUGAACAUACUUAUCUGUUACUGAAAAAACAUACAAGCAUGAAUAUAAUGUUUGAUGUAAUGUUGUAAACAGUUUUCAUUUGUGCAUUACUCAUGCGCCUGUAAGGAUUAUAAUGGUUAUUUCUCCAAAUCUAGUGGGCCAUGUUUGGAAAUCAUCUUCCUGAUUUUGCUGAAUUUGGUUAAAAACUGUCCCAUCAUCCCACACCAUUUUUUUUUUCAUUCUCCAGCAGCUCAAACCACUCCAUACUACGCCCCCCUUUUUUAGUAUUCAAGAAGUAUCAAAUGCAAAUAAUGGAUAUGUCUGGGAAAUUGGUUGUCACUGAAAACCACUGGUGCCACUUUGAUAAUGAUGCCACCUAGUAAUGAUGAUGUUGCCUAAAUAGCAUAUAUUUAUAAUGUACAUAUAGAUGCUGCUGGUGCUGCUAUUACUGUUAUCUCUCUAUGCAGGACUUUCUGAGUGUUUAAACUGCUUCACAUACAUUAUCUUUUUAAUGCACUGUGAGCUACUGCAAAAGGCUUUCGGACCAGAUAACUGGACUAGUUAAAUGCGAGUGGGGACAUUCACAGCAAGACUGAGAGCACAAUCAUUUGCUUGCAUAAGGCCACCAAAUGAGUUGAUGGAUGUGGAGAGGUUUGAACCAGGGACCUUCUGGCUGUUACUUGUGGCUUGUAAAGUAUAACAUUAAUUUAGGGCAGAAGCCAGUUCCAAAUUAAAUUUAACGUGACCCACAGCUUGAUGCUCUUUUAGGAAGUGAAACUGGAGCUCAAUUCUGCUUGUGAGCCACACCAUCUUACACCUGGCCCUUAAUCCCAGAUUUAUAUAAAUAUGGGCUUUGAUGAGUCAGUGAGGAGAGAAAGACACCUCUUGACAAUGAGGCAUGAUUACAGGCAGGCUGCUUUAUAUGUGCAUGUUCAUCACUUCAUAUUGGUGGCUGCACGUACUUUAAGAAAAGCUCAAGUGAUCUGAAGGAGACUUACUACCUCAUCAGACGGGCUCCUUGGCCCAUUGUACCCUACUUGUUCUCCCCUUUCAGGAUGGAGCCCAUUGAAAUGACACACAUGUACUUCCGGCCAAAGUAUGGGCAGUCUUUCCAUGUUGCCUUACCAGCAAUAGGGAAAAAACAGUCAGUGACACUUCCCCCCAUGGGAUGGGUGCCAAGGCAAGUUGCGUGAUGCAGGGCAUGGAACAAUGGGUUCUCCACAUGCCCCACCAGGAGCCCAUGGUUUUGCCAUGAUGUGUGGCAAAUCCAUGGGUCUUUUUGAUGAGGUCCUUACUUCUAAACACCACCAAGUGAUCACUUAACAUAUAUAGAAACUAAUAACCCUUGUUGAAUCAGUCAUCCCUUGUGAAAAUAGAGCAGGGCUGAUGCAUUUGAAUUCCUCAACAGCUUAAUUGCUAAGGUUCCGAUAUCAGUGGAAUGGUUUUAACCUGAACUUUGAAGAGUCUCUCCAAGUUUCUUGACCUAUUUUGGAGACAGAGUUCAACUGUUUGGAUAACUCCUUUUGAGUUUGAACUAAAACUUGAAGUAAUUUUAUGUGCCACUUAAUGUCAGAGUCUCCAAUGACCACUGGAUAUGGAUGAAGAAGUAAUGGCUCUCUACAAAGUCGGACUAAAUCAGUGGUUCUCAUCCUGAAGGCCAAAACACCUGGGGACCCACAGGUGUUUUGGCCUUCAACUCCCAGAAAUCCUAACAGCUGGUAAAUUGGCUGGAAAUUCUGGGAGUUGUAGGCUGAAACAACUGGGGAUCCAUGGGUUGAGAACCACUGGACUAAAUUCUCACUAUUCUUGGACUCGAUAUACCCAUUGCAUUAGAAGGUUGCAUCAGAAGGCUAAUUUACACAAAGAAGAGGUAAGAUGGUGACACAAUUCCUGAUUUGUACUUUUUCAGGUGGGUUGAGAGCAUAUGACAUUUUUGCACAUUCUCAAGAAAUCUGGUAAGUUUUCUUCCUGACACGAUAGAUUUUUGUAUGCAAGGGCUCUACUUGAUCAGGGGCACAUGAGAAGGCAUAUGGAUGUGAAUAUUCAUUCUACUAGAAGUCUGACAAUGUGCAUUCAAGGAAAUGGUUUUCUCAUCAUGUAUACAUUGCUCUUCAGCUGCCAAGUGCUACAACUGGGACAGGUAAUGAACACAUGUCUUAAUUAGCCCUUAAUAAUUAAACCUUGGAGGGGCUGGGGAGCACCCAGAUCUGAUCUAAGCUAUCUAAAUCACUAGACAAGUUUCCAUCAUCUCUGUUCCUCUGGGCAUCAUGAGCCAAUUUGUUUGCUUGCUCUGCAGUUAGUUUGCUUGCACUUCUCUUAAGGCGAGGAGUGAAUUUGUAGUGCUGUAAUCUGUUUCAGCUUGUCAAACAGAUUAGUGCAGUUUGUCUGGAUAAUUCCCCUCUAACAGCUAAAUGGCCCCCAUUUUCAGGGAGGAAGCUUAAAAGAAAUUUAUGUUAUGAUUGAGCCUCGUGGCUCUGUUUCUGACAGGCGUGGGCGUACUCUUGCACUUUCCUUUGU
Anolis carolinensis (green anole) is the source of this 4913-nucleotide long non-coding RNA. The record is from Ensembl. Lineage: Eukaryota; Metazoa; Chordata; Lepidosauria; Squamata; Anolidae.